CUAGCCCUAAACGAUGAUUGCUUGGUGUGUCGGGUACCCAAUCCCGCCGUGCCGAAGCUAACGCGAUAAGCAAUCCGCCUGGGGAGUACGGUCGCAAGACUGAAACUCAAAGGAAUUGACGGGGGCCCGCACAAGCGGUGGAGCAUGUGGUUCAAUUCGACGCAACGCGAAGAACCUUACCUGGGCUCGAAAUGUAGUGGACCGGGGUGGAAACAUCCCUUCCCGCAAGGGUCGCUAUAUAGGUGCUGCAUGGCUGUCGUCAGCUCGUGUCGUGAGAUGUUGGGUUAAGUCCCGCAACGAGCGCAACCCUUAUUGUCAGUUGCCAUCAUUCAGUUGGGCACUCUGGCGAAACCUCCUCGGAUAACGGGGAGGAAGGUGGGGAUGACGUCAAGUCCUCAUGGCCUUUAUGUCCAGGGCUACACACGUGCUACAAUGGUCGGUACAAACCGUCGCAAACCCGUGAGGGGGAGCUAAUCGGAAAAAGCCGACCUCAGUUCGGAUUGGAGUCUGCAACUCGACUCCAUGAAGCUGGAAUCGCUAGUAAUCGCGGAUCAGAACGCCGCGGUGAAUACGUUCCCGGGCCUUGUACUCACCGCCCGUCGGACCAGGUCGAA
This 614-nucleotide ribosomal RNA is filed under the name uncultured bacterium. RNAcentral's name for it is "bacterial SSU rRNA". It matches the Rfam family "Bacterial small subunit ribosomal RNA", at positions 796 to 1411 of the family's 1533-position model. The record is from RNAcentral.